GUCCCUUCGAGAACUUCUGAUAAAAUUGGAAUCAUAGUUAGAAGAUUAGCAUAACCCCUACACAAGGAUGACACACAUAAAUUUGACUGUGAAUUCGGACAU
Molecule: small nuclear RNA, 102 nt
Organism: Lycium ferocissimum
Lineage: Eukaryota; Viridiplantae; Streptophyta; Magnoliopsida; Solanales; Solanaceae
Source: RefSeq, a predicted model, not a curated record